This 2843-nucleotide long non-coding RNA is filed under the name Homo sapiens (human). RNAcentral's name for it is "HSALNT0245683". Lineage: Eukaryota; Metazoa; Chordata; Mammalia; Primates; Hominidae. The record is from RNAcentral.
UGGUUCUCGGCACCUGGUGUUGCCUUCGGAGGCACAGAGGACGUUCUAGAAACACGAGGGUGCAAAGAGAAGCUGGACAGGCGCCCACACCUGGCUGGCACGCACACCUGUGUGCACCGAGGGGGAACUGACGAGCACCUGAAUUGCCGAGCCAGGCUGCAGUAAGUCAUUAGGAUCGGGGUGAGAUGCCCCCACAGGGACAAGGGAGGGGUGAGAAUCAGAGGGGUUUCUUUUCUCAGCUAAGAAAGGCCCCAGGGGCAGCCUCUGCCCCACAUGGCUCUCAGUACCAGCGAUGGGCAGGGUCCCUUCGUUCUCAUUGCGGUUUCCCCAGGGCUCCCACACCACCAGCUGCCUCUUCUAGAAACUCCCCAUCAGGCCUUCUCCCCCGCGAAUCUUGGUAACGUCCUUGCUGCCUCUCUCACACCCUCCUGUCCUCCUCUUCCUACAAACAUGCUCCUGUCUCCAUCCCACCUUGAAGAAACCCUUGGCCGAUACGGCACCCACCCAUGGUCCCAGGAUAACCCCUUUUCUUCCCUAGGCUAAUAAAACAGAGAAAGUAAGUGCAUCGGGCACUCCAGACCAAAGCCAUUUGCAGAAUGGAGUCACAGGCUGACAUCCAAGACUUUAGCCAGCUGGCUUCAGGCAGCAGAUGCAAAGGAGAGGUCAUGAGCAGGCCAGGCCCUGGCUAGGCAGGUGAGAGGUGACGGCGACCUUGUCUAGGAUGAGGGCCCCAGGAAGCCCUUGGGAACCCAGGGUGGUUAGGCCAGGCCAGUUGGUGAGAGCCUGAACUCUGGAAGGAAAGAACAGGCUGUAGUGUGGACGAGACCAUCCCUCCUGCAUCGUAGCUGCCUUGUAAUCCCAUCCUCCUGACUCAGGCUGGGCUCUGCAUCAGGCACCCCAGAGUCCAGGCACCCCAGUUUGUCAGGCCUGUGUGGGACAGCGCCUGAGCCGGGAGGGCUCCCUUCCCUCCUCCGGGAUGCUCUGGCCUUGUCUCUGUCAUGGCCAUUUAUUGCAACCACGGUCAAUAAAGGAGGCAGGAGAGGGCACAGUGGCUGUGAAAACGUUUGGCUCACGAGGAACAGGUAUCCUAACUGCGUGGGACAAGGAGGCGGGUGGUGUCGUGAUUAAAGCACAGGCCUGGGAUCACACUGCAGGGGCUCAGAUCCCAGAUCUGCAACAAUGUGGCUGCGAUGACCCUGGCUGGGCGCGGUGGCUCAAGCCCCCCAGUCUCCGAUUUGCCAGCCUGGCUGUUCACACACAGGGGAUGCACUGGCUUCCCAGGCAUCCUGGGCACCCCCUCCAGGUGGCAUAGGGGCUCCCCAGCACUGAAGGGUGUUCAGCAGCCUGCAAACCAACUGACUCACAGAGCCCAGAUAGUGACGCCAAGACCAGCCGCUCCGGGGCCAACAUCAGAGCUGGAGAGCUGAGCCAGUGGCACGCCAGUCACUGAGGAAGGCCUCUUGUUGAUAAAGACAGGGCAUGAAUUCUUGGGGGGCUGUUACGUACCUUCCCAAAGGGAGAAAGAAACCCCUUGUUCAGUCACCGCACAGCUGUCUCUGGAGACAGGAGCACAAAGCUGCCUUCUGCCCAGGGCACUGCUUCCUUGGCAAGUGACCAGCAGCUGGGACCGCACGUGCCAAAGGCAGCAGCUGCCAUGUUUGACAAACUGGAACGGAGCUAUGUCCAAAUUAAAUCCCCCCAACCAGCCUCUGCCAUACUCCCUUUGGGGACAGGGGUGGUCGGUCGUUACGCUUGCAAAAUUCCAACAGCACCUAGAGUCCCAGGAAAUGGGGCUGCUGGCCAAUAGAGGUGGGACCCAGGGUGACAGGCCACAUGCUCCUUAGAGAGCCAACAGUGUUUCCUGAAUUCCAUGGGAGUUUGCCGAGGGGACAUGGAAGCUAGGAUUCCGGAACACCCGCUGGGAGCCUAGUCCUGGGCUAGGGGCUGCAUUUAUCAUUUCAUCCUCACAACUACUGUUGCAGUUUCGCCUAACAGAGAAGGAGACAAAACUAACCCGGUGGCCACGUGGCCGAAGGCACAGAGCCGUUGAGUGGCAGCGUGGCAUUUGAAUUCAGGCCGGUGAUGCUGAAGUCCCCAGGUCUUUUUUUUUUUGAUGCCCACAACAAUGUAACUACUAAUAGCCUGUUAUUGAUGCAGGCCUUACCAAUAACAUAAAUAGUUGAUGAACACAUAUUUUGCAUAUGUGUUAUAUACUGUAUUCUUAUCAUAAACGAGCCAAAGAGAAGGAGAUGUUAUUAAGAAAACGGUAAGAAAGAGAAAAUAUAUUUAGCAUUCAUUUAGCAGAAGGGGAUCACCAUAAAGGUCUUCAUCCCUGUUAUCUUCACCUUGAAGAGGCUGAGAAGGAGGAGAAGGAGGGGGUGGUCUUGCUGUCUUAGGGAUGGUGGAGGUAGAAGAGGCAAAGAAGGUGGAAGGGAAGGCAGCCACGCUCGGUGUAAGCUUUAUUGGAAAAAAUCUGCAUUUAUGUGGACUCUCACCAGGCAAACCCGUAUGGUGCUCGAGGGCCAACUGUAUUUCCACUACCGUCAUCCGCCUUGCCCAGGGUGACCUGAUUCACUGACGGGAGGGUUUGCCUUCCCAUGCGCAUCAGUUCAGCCUUCCCCUGAUGUCAUUCUUUUCCUAGUGGCUAACAGGCUGGAUGUGCAGUUGGGGACAGUCAGUAUCUGGGGUCUGGUGAGGACCCUCUUCCUGGUUUGCAAAGCAGGAAGAUGCCAGGCAUCUCUUUCUGUCCUGCUCAGUCAAGUGUGAAUCACAAAGCCUGAGUUCAGAUCCUCGACCUUGGGCAGGUGAACUUCACUCUUAUGAGUCUCAAUUUCUGUACCCAC